RNAcentral lists this long non-coding RNA (1553 nucleotides) under Solanum pimpinellifolium. RNAcentral describes it as "long non-coding RNA (SPIM_LNC000025)". Lineage: Eukaryota; Viridiplantae; Streptophyta; Magnoliopsida; Solanales; Solanaceae. The record is from RNAcentral.
ACGAUGUCAUGAUGCGCCCAUUCCUAUGGCCAUUCCUUUAAUACUUCUGGCUCUCGGGAGUCUCUUUGUAGGAUACUUGGCCAAAGUGUGACCUGUUAGCCCAUAAGUAAGUACUGUGACGAAGCGGCUGUUGCUCACCCGACACGAUCGUACGAGGUCACAAUUCACCCAACACGAUCAUCCGGGGUGAACAAGAAUUGGGGAUCGGAUGCGGGCGAAAUUCCCGCCAAUGGCUGAGAUGUUCAGUCGACUCCCUCCCCCUUUGUGGGGGUCCCGACCCCUACGAGUGAGCAGAAAAGGGAGGAGGAAAGAGGCCCUGGUGAACCGUCAUAAUUAGUGAACAAGUGUAAGCUUCGCUGCCCGACAGUAUGGAGUACUGACCACACCGAGGGACAGGCCCUGAAGCGAAGGACGGGAACGAGCGGAAUCAAUGUGUUCCAAUUUCUGGCCUUGCACCGACCAUCCAAUGGACCAUGGACUAAACGGCCACUGCCUGAAAGGACUAUGUCCAGGGGACCGCCGCCCCCCCCACAAGGUACAUCUCGCGCCUAUGGGCCGCUAUAACUAUCCAAGAAGACACUCGAAACUGGAAGGAUAAACAAACCCACCCGGUGGACUGCCGAGCUACAAGUCCUACGACACAGGAGCGGGAUUCUCUAAAAAGCCAAGGUCGUGGGUGGCCAAGAGGGCCCACUUGGAGACUUGGGAUCUCAGCAGGAAAUGCGAAGGUUGCAACAAGCCGGCCGGCCAAAGAGAAUCAACUAGUUUAGUUCUGAUCUGAGUAGGCUCAUAAUUAGGGAAUACCCUAACCCUGGGAACCGGGGCCUGGCCAUCCUUCGUUUGCGGUCGACGUUCCGGCUUUGUCCGUCGACAGCUGAAUGUUUCGAUCUGGUUCGAUUCAUGAUCGCAUCUGCAAACCUUAUCCCGUGGGCUUUAGCGGACGUUUUUCAUUCUUCACCCGGUCCUUAGUAGCCUUUCCAAAGUCAACCUAACCGCUUACCUUUGGAAAGGCGCUAAAUAGGCCUUCGCCCUUACGCCUUUAUAUAUAAUAGAAGAAAAUUAGAUAGUUGUAUAUAGAAUUAGCCAGAUCGUCUGAAGCAUGAACAGAAUCGCCUUUGUUCUGAAGGCCUAGCGAGUUCCUUUUUUUUUUUCAAAGGCGGCCCUUUUCUUUCCUCGGACCGAUGACUCGCUUGUUCAGUACUGCUAACUAUUAUAGGAGNNNNNNNNNNNNNNNNNNNNNNNNNNNNNNNNNNNNNNNNNNNNNNNNNNNNNNNNNNNNNNNNNNNGUAGGAUACUUGGCCAAAGUGUGACCUGUUAGCCCAUAAGUAAGUACUGUGACGAAGCGGCUGUUGCUCACCCGACACGAUCGUACGAGGUCACAAUUCACCCAACACGAUCAUCCGGGGUGAACAAGAAUUGGGGAUCGGAUGCGGGCGAAAUUCCCGCCAAUGGCUGAGAUGUUCAGUCGACUCCCUCCCCCUUUGUGGGGCUCCCGACCCCUACGAGUGAGCAGAAAAGGGAGGAGGAAAGAGGCCCUGGUGAACCGUCAUAAU